UUUGAAUCUAAUUCAAGCUCUCUAAGUGGAAGUAUAUGCUUUCUACCUGAGAGAGAAUCGGGUUCAAAUCUUGCAGGGACCUUCUGUGCCGUUUGAUUCCGUGCUCCUCUAGCUUUGCUUGGUGGUUAUCCUAGGACUUCUAAGCAAUCUCAACAUGUGUACUGCUCUGUGAUGAUUGAUGAUAUAUGCUACACUUAGGAUGGACUCGUGCCUUAGCGACUUUAAAACUUGAAAGAUAAUAGUUGUGCUUAUUUGAUUGUAUUAAAACAAUGAGUUCAUUUAUUCAAUAAAACAACAUUUCAAUUU
Molecule: long non-coding RNA, 306 nt
Filed under: Helianthus annuus (common sunflower)
Lineage: Eukaryota; Viridiplantae; Streptophyta; Magnoliopsida; Asterales; Asteraceae
Description: hypothetical non coding rna
Source: RNAcentral